Molecule: non-coding RNA, 28 nt
Filed under: unclassified sequences
Description: L31-Firmicutes ribosomal protein leader
Rfam family: L31-Firmicutes ribosomal protein leader
Source: RNAcentral
CUAUGACACAUCGUCAUGGCGGAAGGAG